GAGCGGCGAACGGGUGAGUAACACGUGAGCAACCUACCCUUCACUUCGGGAUAAGCCUCGGAAACGGGGUCUAAUACCGGAUAUCACUCCUUACUUCAUGGUUUGGGGUUGAAAGUUCUGGCGGUGGGGGAUGGGCUCGCGGCCUAUCAGCUUGUUGGUGGGGUAAUGGCCUACCAAGGCGUCGACGGGUAGCCGGCCUGAGAGGGCGACCGGCCACACUGGGACUGAGACACGGCCCAGACUCCUACGGGAGGCAGCAGUGGGGAAUAUUGCGCAAUGGACGGAAGUCUGACGCAGCAACGCCGCGUGAGGGAUGACGGCCUUCGGGUUGUAAACCUCUUUCAGCAGGGACGAAGCGAGAGUGACGGUACCUGCAGAAGAAGGACCGGCCAACUACGUGCCAGCAGCCGCGGUAAUACGUAGGGUCCGAGCGUUGUCCGGAAUUAUUGGGCGUAAAGGGCUCGUAGGCGGUUCGUCGCGUCGGGAGUGAAAACUCGGAGCUCAACUCCGAGCCUGCUUCCGAUACGGGCAGA
This 533-nucleotide ribosomal RNA is filed under the name Kribbella sp. 303B10. Its description in RNAcentral is "bacterial SSU rRNA". It matches the Rfam family "Bacterial small subunit ribosomal RNA", at positions 93 to 640 of the family's 1533-position model. The record is from RNAcentral. Lineage: Bacteria; Bacillati; Actinomycetota; Actinomycetes; Propionibacteriales; Kribbellaceae.